Molecule: long non-coding RNA, 386 nt
Organism: Herpailurus yagouaroundi (jaguarundi)
Lineage: Eukaryota; Metazoa; Chordata; Mammalia; Carnivora; Felidae
Exons: 3
Source: RefSeq, a predicted model, not a curated record
AGGGAUGGGCCUGGCCAAGAUCCCACGGCCAUUUGCUGGGGACAGGUGUCCGGGCCACCCGCUCCAAACACCUGCCUACUCCCAGGCGGCCCGCCAGGAAGCGCUGGCCGAAAGAAGGACCUCCAGUUGACUAGAAGUGGUGAGUCUGGGCGUCUCGGCCUUGUUUCCGAUCCCAGAGGACAGCUUCCAGCUUCUCACCGUCAAAGAUGAUGCUAGCUGUGGGGUGUCAUAUACGGCCUUUAUUAGGGUGUUCUCGUGAUUUUUAUCCUCCACCUGGUCAACGCGGUGAAUCCCGUUGGUGGCUGCGUGGCUGUCGAACUACCCUCGCAUCCCUGGAAUGAACCCCGCUCGGCCGCAGUGAGUGGUCGUGUGGACUGUUGAAUCUG